This 459-nucleotide ribosomal RNA is filed under the name uncultured bacterium. Its description in RNAcentral is "partial 16S ribosomal RNA". It matches the Rfam family "Bacterial small subunit ribosomal RNA", at positions 338 to 795 of the family's 1533-position model. The record is from RNAcentral.
CCUACGGGCGGCUGCAGUGAGGAAUAUUGGUCAAUGGACGGAAGUCUGAACCAGCCAUGCCGCGUGCAGGAAGACGGCUCUAUGAGUUGUAAACUGCUUUUGUACAAGGGUAAACCUGAAUACGUGUAUUCAGCUGAAAGUACUGUACGAAUAAGGAUCGGCUAACUCCGUGCCAGCAGCCGCGGUAAUACGGAGGAUCCAAGCGUUAUCCGGAUUUAUUGGGUUUAAAGGGUGCGUAGGCGGAUCGUUAAGUCAGUGGUCAAAUUGAGGGGCUCAACCCCUUCCCGCCAUUGAAACUGGCGCUCUUGAGUGGAAGAGAAGUAUGCGGAAUGCGUGGUGUAGCGGUGAAAUGCAUAGAUAUCACGCAGAACCCCGAUUGCGAAGGCAUCUCACGAAUCCGCGAUUGACGCUGAUGCACGAAAGCGUGGGUAUCAAACAGGAUUAGAUACCCGAGUAGUC